UUUUUUUUUUUUUUUUUUUUUUUUUUUGCUUUUUAGGGCCUCACCUUUGGCAUAUGGUAGUUCCCAGGCUAGGGGUUGAAUCAGAGCUACAGCUGCCAGCCACAGCCACAGCAAUAUGUGAUUACUAUAUCAUUAUGCUUUGCAAAGAUGUCCUUAGUCUUAGAGAUUCAUGUGGAAAUAUUUACCGAUGAAAUAAUAAGAUGCCUAGAAUUUGCUUCAGAUUAAUCUAUGGAGUUGGCUGUGAGAAGUGGAUGGAUGAACAAGAUUGUAAGUUGACAACUGUUGAGGAUGAGCAAUUGCUAUAAUGGGUUUUUUCCACUUUCAUCAGUUUACAUUUAUGUAUGGGAAACUAUUUUAAUGCAGAAAAAUAGGAAGUGAGACCAUGUGUGGAUGAUGAGGAGAGCUAACUAGUGUGAAAAUUUUGUAAAAUAGAGGGCAAAAAAAUGAUUGGUAGCUAUAGGCGUUUCUAGGAUCAAGGAAGUUGUGUGUGUGUGUAUACUUUAAAGGAGACUUUUAAAAAAUGUCUUUAUAUGCUGAUGGGACAAAAGCAUGAGAGCAGGAAAAUUAUUUGUGAAAGAGAAGGGAUGGGGUUGCAAAAGCACAUGCAAGAAAAGGUUAUGUCAGAGAAGACAGCCUUCAAUAUCCAGUUAAGAUAUUGGCCUUGGACAGGAGCAUUUUAUCAGCAAGAAAAGCAGAUUAUUGGAAUUAUGUACAAGUUAGGUGAUCUGAUUGCAUGAGAGAAUAUUCCAUUUGUUCCAUAUUCGUUUGUUCCAUUAAAGCGGUUUCUAUCAUAAAUUAAAAAUAUUUUAACUUAUAACCUCAGAAAGAGAUAGGCAUGGGGGAGUUCCCGUCAUGGCUCAGCAGUUAGUGAACCCGACUAGUAUCCGUGAGGACGUGGGUUCAAUCCCUGGCCUCGCUCAGUGGGUUAAGGAUCUGGCAUGGCUGUGAGCUGUGGUGUAGGUUGCAGAUGUGGCUCCGAUCUGGCGUGGCUGUGGCUGUGGCCGCUGGCUUCGGCUCUCAUUGGACCCCUAGCCUGGGAACCUCCAUAUGCCAAGACUGGAGCCCUAAAAAGAGAAAAGACCAAAAACAAACAAACACAAAAGAUAGGCAUGGGAGUUGUUUUUUUUUGGAAGAUAUUUAUUUUAUGUUUUUAGGGCCGCACUUAUGGCAUAUGGAAGUUCCCAGGCUAGGGGUCAAAUGGGAGCUGUAGCUGCUGACCUACACCACAGCCACAGCAACUCGGGAUCCUUAAGCUCUUGAGUGAGGUCAGGAAUAGAACCCGUGUCCUCAUGGAUACUAGUCAGGUUCAUUACUGCUGAGCCAUGAUGGGAACUCUGUGGAAGUCUUUAUAAAAACCAAAAAAUCCAGAUGAGUAUAAUUUGAAAGCAAUCUGAAUCAUAAUGGGGUGGGGUUUUUUUGUUGUUUUUGUUUGUUUGUUGUCUUUUUAGGGCCACACCUGCUGCAUAUGGAAGUUCCCAGGCUAGGGGUCAAAUCGGAGCUGUAGCUGCUGGCCUACAUCACAGCCACAGCAAUGCCAGAUCGGAGCCACAUCUAUAACCUACACCAUAGCUCACGCCAGUGCUGGAUCCUUAAAUCACUGAGCAAGGCUGGGGAUCAAACCUGCAUCCUCAUGGAUACUAGUUAUGUUCUUUACCUCUGAGUCACAAUGGAACUCCCAUAAUGAAUAUUUUUAAUGUAAACAGGCAGGAGGAAAACUUUGCUGGGUUCUAAUGGAGUACACACACCCUAAUAUAUGACUGUUGAUGGAAAUGUUAGUGUCAGGGGAAUCCAGGAUGGUUCAGUUUUCCCCCCAUUUCUACCAGAGAAGUUUUAUAUCUCCCCACAGAGGAAACAUCAUGUGUUUACUCUCUGGUUAUCUCUCAGACUUGGAGUUCAGAUGUAAAACCAAGGAAUCAUGUCUGCAAAAAGAAAUCUGUGAAGUAACAUCAUCCCAACAGAAGAUAAUGAAAACAAGUCAUAGCCUUGUGGGCUCCAGUAUCAGAGAUGCCUGGACAUGCAAAGGCCAGUUUAAGAGGUAACAGGGGGAUAUCUGGGCCAAGCAUUAAUGACCUACGAAAAAAUGCCAGCUUUCAGCCUACAAAGACCUCUUACUCUACAUCAGCAAAUUUAUCCUGAAGAGAAAUUCUAUAAAUUCAAAGAAUGUAGGAAGGCCUUUAUGGUUCAGGAUUUAUAGGAUAGCAAGGAAUUCAUAUUGGUAGGAAACCCUAUAAAUGUAAGGAAUGUGACAAGGUCUUUAGUCAUUUUUCCUAUCUUACUGAACAUUAAAGAGUUCACACUGUUGAGAAGCACUAUGAAUGUAAGGAAUGUAGAAAACCUUUUUUUGUGACUCACAUCUUAUUCAACAUCAGAGAAUCCAUACAGAUGAGAAACCCUAUGAAUGUCAGGAAUGUGGGAAGGCCUUUAGACAAUCUGCACACCUCUCUUUUCUUUUCUUUUUUUUUUUGGUCUUUUGUCUUUUUAGGGCCACACCCGUGGCAUAUGGAGGUUCCCAGGAUAGGGGUCCAAUUGGAGUUAUAGCUUCCAGCCUACACCACAGACACAGCAAUGCAGGAUCCUUAACCCAUUGAGUGAGGCCAGGGAUCAAACCCAUGUCUUCAUGGAUGCUAGUCGGGUUUGUUAACCACUGAGCCAUGACGGGAACUCCCAAUCUUCACACCUUACUCGACAUCUGAGAAUUCAUAGUGGUGACAAACCUUAUAAACAUAAAGCAUGUAGGAACUCUUUUAUUUGUGGCUCAGAAUUCACUUGGCAUCAGAGAAUUCAUACUGGUGAGAAUCCCUAUGGUUGUAAGGAAUGUGGGAAGGCCUUUAGACUGCGUU
Molecule: long non-coding RNA, 2840 nt
Filed under: Sus scrofa (pig)
Lineage: Eukaryota; Metazoa; Chordata; Mammalia; Artiodactyla; Suidae
Description: lncRNA (ENSSSCG00035037324.1)
Source: RNAcentral